GAGUCUGAUCGUGGCUCAGAUUGAACGCUGGCGGCAGGCCUAACACAUGCAAGUCGAGCGGAUGAAGGGAGCUUGCUCCUGGAUUCAGCGGUGGACGGGUGAGUAAUGCCUAGGAAUCUGCCUGGUAGUGGGGGAUAACGUCCGGAAACGGGCGCUAAUACCGCAUACGUCCUGAGGGAGAAAGUGGGGAUCUUCGGACCUCACGCUAUCAGAUGAGCCUAGGUCGGAUUAGCUAGUUGGUGGGGUAAAGGCCUACCAAGGCGACGAUCCGUAACUGGUCUGAGAGGAUGAUCAGUCACACUGGAACUGAGACACGGUCCAGACUCCUACGGGAGGCAGCAGUGGGGAAUAUUGGACAAUGGGCGAAAGCCUGAUCCAGCCAUGCCGCGUGUGUGAAGAAGGUCUUCGGAUUGUAAAGCACUUUAAGUUGGGAGGAAGGGCAGUAAGUUAAUACCUUGCUGUUUUGACGUUACCAACAGAAUAAGCACCGGCUAACUUCGUGGCAGCAGCCG
This 512-nucleotide ribosomal RNA is filed under the name uncultured microorganism. Its description in RNAcentral is "bacterial SSU rRNA". It matches the Rfam family "Bacterial small subunit ribosomal RNA", at positions 9 to 517 of the family's 1533-position model. The record is from RNAcentral.